UCCUUAACAAUUCCAUAGAAUUGCUUUGUACGCGCUUUUACAAAACACACGCACUAACUCCUCUUACUUCUCUUUUCUUCUCAAAUCAAAAGCAAACAACCAGAACUCUUCAUUAUUUCUCAAAAAAAAAAAUUGAAGGAUAUGGAAGAAACUCUUUUUGCACAGAUCUAUUUAAUCAUGAAAAUAGAUCUUGUUAUGCUACUUCUUCUUCUAUCCUUUUUCCUUUUUUUUUUUUAAUUUACAAAAGAAAAUCUCUCUGUUCUUUAAUAGAAGAGAAAAAAAAUUGUUGAUCCAUGUAGCGCGUCUGACAGAUUGGAAGGCUAUUAAUCCGAUUUUUGUCAGGACCAAAAUCUCGAUCUACAACCGGUUCUGCUAUCUUUCUAACAGGAUCUAAGGCACAAUUCCGGGGUCCCAUUAAGGAGUAGAGUUGUUUGGUCAGAAGUUGCAGUUUGUGAGCCUCCCUUAUUUUGGAAGGCCUAGUUAUGAGUUAUUGUUAUUUUAUUUUGAUUCAUGGUUCGAUUGGGGGCCUUGUCCUAGUUUUACUACAUAUGUUAGUUCUUGUAUUGUUAGAGAUUUCGCAGAUUGGUGUCAUGUGUUUUGAAUGUUAAGAAUGUCAUACCCCAUUUUAACACAGGUCAAACCGAGGUAUUACAACAUAUUGAAAAACUUCUGAUUAAAUUGAAGAA
Molecule: long non-coding RNA, 686 nt
Organism: Capsicum annuum
Lineage: Eukaryota; Viridiplantae; Streptophyta; Magnoliopsida; Solanales; Solanaceae
Exons: 2
Source: RefSeq, a predicted model, not a curated record